RNAcentral lists this ribosomal RNA (448 nucleotides) under uncultured Actinomycetales bacterium. Its description in RNAcentral is "bacterial SSU rRNA". It matches the Rfam family "Bacterial small subunit ribosomal RNA", at positions 337 to 797 of the family's 1533-position model. The record is from RNAcentral. Lineage: Bacteria; Bacillati; Actinomycetota; Actinomycetes; Actinomycetales.
GCCUACGGGGGGCAGCAGUGGGGAAUAUUGCGCAAUGGGCGAAAGCCUGACGCAGCAACGCCGCGUGAGGGAUGACGGCCUUCGGGUUGUAAACCUCUUUCAGCAGGGAAGAAGCGAAAGUGACGGUACCUGCAGAAGAAGCACCGGCUAACUACGUGCCAGCAUCCGCGGCAAUACGUAGGGUGCAAGCGUUGUCCGGAUUUAUUGGGCGUAAAGAGCUCGUAGGCGGUGAGUCACGUCGGAUGUGAAAACCCGGAGCUGAACCCCGGGCCUGCAGUCGAUACGGGCUGACUAGAGUGUUGUAGGGGAGGCUGGAACUCCUGGUGUAGCGGUGAAAUGCGCAGAUAUCAGGAAGAACACCGGUGGCGAAGGCGGGUCUCUGGGCAACUACUGACGCUGAGGAGCGAAAGCGUGGGGAGCAAACAGGAUUAGAUACCCCUGUAGUCUA